GGGGCGGUGGUGUAGUUGGGAGUCACAUUCGACUGAAGUCUACUUUGGUUUCACAUAUAUCGAAAGGUCACCCGUUCGAUCCGGGUUCGUCCCA
This is a non-coding RNA of Talaromyces stipitatus ATCC 10500, 94 nucleotides long. The record is from the annotation of a RefSeq genome assembly. Lineage: Eukaryota; Fungi; Ascomycota; Eurotiomycetes; Eurotiales; Trichocomaceae.